RNAcentral lists this ribosomal RNA (450 nucleotides) under uncultured Glomeromycotina. RNAcentral's name for it is "SSU rRNA". It matches the Rfam family "Eukaryotic small subunit ribosomal RNA", at positions 569 to 1023 of the family's 1831-position model. The record is from RNAcentral. Lineage: Eukaryota; Fungi; Glomeromycota.
AGCAGCCGCGGUAAUUCCAGCUCCAAUAGCGUAUAUUAAAGUUGUUGCAGUUAAAAAGCUCGUAGUUGAAUUUCGGGACCAAUUUGUUGGUCGUGCCUCGGUACGUACUGGUAUUAUUGGUUUCUCCCUUCUGAAGAACCUCGAUGCCAUUAAUUUGGUGUCGUGGGGAAUCAGGACUGUUACUUUGAAAAAAUUAGAGUGUUUAAAGCAAGCAUACGCUUGAAUACAUUAGCAUGGAAUAAUGAAAUAGGACGUUUGAUUCUAUUUUGUUGGUUUCUAGGAUCGACGUAAUGAUUAAUAGGGAUAGUUGGGGGCAUUAGUAUUCAAUUGUCAGAGGUGAAAUUCUUGGAUUUAUUGAAGACUAAACUACUGCGAAAGCAUUUGCCAAGGAUGUUUUCAUUAAUCAAGAACGAAAGUUAGGGGAUCGAAGACGAUCAGAUACCGUCGUAG